UACGUAGGGUGCAAGCGUUGUCCGGAAUUAUUGGGCGUAAAGAGCUCGUAGGCGGUUCGUCGCGUCGGCUGUGAAAUCCCGAGGCUCAACCUCGGGUCUGCAGUCGAUACGGGCGGACUGGAGUUCGGCAGGGGAGACUGGAAUUCCUGGUGUAGCGGUGAAAUGCGUAGAUAUCAAGAGGAACACCAGUGGCGAAGGCGAGUCCCUGGACGAUACCUGACACUGAGGCACGAAAGCCAAGGGAGCAAACAGG
This 253-nucleotide ribosomal RNA is filed under the name uncultured bacterium. RNAcentral's name for it is "partial 16S ribosomal RNA". It matches the Rfam family "Bacterial small subunit ribosomal RNA", at positions 524 to 776 of the family's 1533-position model. The record is from RNAcentral.